UCGGACGUGGUGCACGGAACACCGCCCCUUUCAUUAGUCCAUGACUAGAAAUUGAUCGGAGGCAGCUCGGGGUUCGAAUCCCCGCGUCCGAA
Molecule: non-coding RNA, 92 nt
Organism: Mycena epipterygia
Lineage: Eukaryota; Fungi; Basidiomycota; Agaricomycetes; Agaricales; Mycenaceae
Source: the annotation of a GenBank genome assembly